RNAcentral lists this ribosomal RNA (235 nucleotides) under uncultured bacterium. RNAcentral describes it as "partial 16S ribosomal RNA". It matches the Rfam family "Bacterial small subunit ribosomal RNA", at positions 118 to 347 of the family's 1533-position model. The record is from RNAcentral.
UGGGUGAUCUGCCCUGCACUUUGGGAUAAGCCUGGGAAACUGGGUCUAAUACCGAAUACACCUUGCUGGCUGCAUGGCCUGGUGGGGGAAAGCUUUUGCGGUGUGGGAUGGGCCCGCGGCCUAUCAGCUUGUUGGUGUGGGUAAUGGCCCACCAAGGCGACGACGGGUAGCCGGCCUGAGAGGGUGACCGGCCACACUGGGACUGAGACACGGCCCAGACCUCCGUACGGGAGCA